GCGAAUGUGGCGGAAUUGGUAGACGCACUGGAUUUAGGUUCCAGCGCCGCAAGGCGUGGGGGUUCGAGUCCCUUCAUUCGCACCA
This 85-nucleotide transfer RNA is filed under the name Betaproteobacteria bacterium. RNAcentral's name for it is "tRNA-Leu". It matches the Rfam family "tRNA". Rfam says of the family: Transfer RNA (tRNA) molecules are approximately 80 nucleotides in length. The record is from RNAcentral. Lineage: Bacteria; Pseudomonadati; Pseudomonadota; Betaproteobacteria.